This 844-nucleotide ribosomal RNA is filed under the name uncultured bacterium. RNAcentral describes it as "bacterial SSU rRNA". It matches the Rfam family "Bacterial small subunit ribosomal RNA", at positions 627 to 1470 of the family's 1533-position model. The record is from RNAcentral.
UGGAAACUNUCUGACUUGAGUGCAGAAGGGGAGAGUGGAAUUCCAUGUGUAGCGGUGAAAUGCGUAGAUAUAUGGAGGANCACCAGUGGCGAAAGCGGCUCUCUGGUCUGUCACUGACGCUGAGGCUCGAAAGCGUGGGUAGCGAACAGGAUUAGAUACCCUGGUAGUNCACGCCGUAAACGAUGAGUGCUAGGUGUUAGGCCCUUUCCGGGGCUUAGUGCCGGAGCUAACGCAAUAAGCACUCCGCCUGGGGAGUACGACCGCAAGGUUGAAACUCAAAGGAAUUGACGGGGGCCCGCACAAGCGGUGGAGCAUGUGGUUUAAUUCGAAGCAACGCGAAGAACCUUACCAGGUCUUGACAUCCCGAUGCUAUUCUUAGAGAUAGGAAGUUACUUCGGUACAUCGGAGACAGGUGGUGCAUGGUUGUCGUCAGCUCGUGUCGUGAGAUGUUGGGUUAAGUCCCGCAACGAGCGCAACCCUUAUUGUUAGUUGCCAUCAUUAAGUUGGGCACUCUAGCGAGACUGCCGGUAAUAAACCGGAGGAAGGUGGGGACGACGUCAAAUCAUCAUGCCCCUUAUGACCUGGGCUACACACGUGCUACAAUGGUCGGUACAACGAGUUGCGAGCCGGUGACGGCAAGCUAAUCUCUGAAAGCCGAUCUCAGUUCGGAUUGGAGGCUGCAACUCGCCUCCAUGAAGUCGGAAUCGCUAGUAAUCGCGGAUCAGCACGCCGCGGUGAAUACGUUCCCGGGCCUUGUACACACCGCCCGUCACACCACGAGAGUUUGUAACACCCGAAGUCGGUGAGGUAACCUUUUAGGAGCCAGCCGCCUAAGGUGGGAUAG